RNAcentral lists this ribosomal RNA (253 nucleotides) under uncultured bacterium. Its description in RNAcentral is "partial 16S ribosomal RNA". It matches the Rfam family "Bacterial small subunit ribosomal RNA", at positions 524 to 776 of the family's 1533-position model. The record is from RNAcentral.
UACGUAGGGACCAAGCGUUGUCCGGAAUCAUUGGGCGUAAAGAGCGUGUAGGCGGCUUGUUAAGUCUUGCGUGAAAUCUCGGGGCUCAACCCCGAGCGGUCGUGAGAAACUGGCAGGCUAGAGUGCGGGAGAGGAGAGUGGAAUUCCUGGUGUAGCGGUGAAAUACGCAGAUAUCAGGAAGAACACCCGUGGCGAAGGCGGCUCUCUGGAACGCAACUGACGCUGAGACGCGAAAGCGUGGGGAGCAAACAGG